RNAcentral lists this ribosomal RNA (425 nucleotides) under uncultured prokaryote. RNAcentral describes it as "bacterial SSU rRNA". It matches the Rfam family "Bacterial small subunit ribosomal RNA", at positions 355 to 796 of the family's 1533-position model. The record is from RNAcentral.
CAACGAAUCUUCCGCAAUGCGCGAAAGCGUGACGGAGCAAUGCCGCGUGCAGGAUGAAGCCUUUCGGGGUGUAAACUGCUGUCAGGGUUCAGCAACACAAUGAGCAGACCCAAAGGAAGGGCCGGCUAACUUCGUGCCAGCAGCCGCGGUAAUACGAAGGGCCCAAGCGUUGCGCGGAAUCACUGGGCUUAAAGCGUACGUAGGCGGACAGAUAGGUACCUUGUGAAAUCCCUCGGCUCAACCGAGGAACUGCUUGGUAAACCGGCUGUCUUGAGGCAAGUAGGGGCUAUCGGAACGAUAGGUGGAGCGGUGAAAUGCGUUGAUAUCUAUCGGAACGCCAAAGGCGAAGGCAGAUAGCUGGGCUUGUUCUGACGCUGAGGUACGAAAGCGUGGGGAGCGAACGGGAUUAGAUACCCCCGUAGUCC